This 256-nucleotide ribosomal RNA is filed under the name uncultured bacterium. RNAcentral describes it as "partial 16S ribosomal RNA". It matches the Rfam family "Bacterial small subunit ribosomal RNA", at positions 524 to 776 of the family's 1533-position model. The record is from RNAcentral.
UACGGAGGGUGCGAGCGUUGUCCGGAAUCACUGGGCGUAAAGGGCGCGUAGGUGGCUUCCUAAGCGUGCGGUGAAAGCCUGGGGCUCAACCCCGGGUCGGCCCGGUGCGAACUGGGGGGCUUGAGCACUGUAGAGGCAGGCGGAAUUCCGGGUGGAGCGGGUGAAAUGCAUAGAUACCAUCCAGAACCCCGAUUGCGUAGGCAGCUGACUAGGCUGGUACUGACACUGAGGCACGAAAGCGUGGGGAGCGAACAGG